ACCUGGUUGAUCCUGCCAGUAGUCAUAUGCUUGUUUCAAAGGUUAAGCCAUGCACGUGUGAGUAUAGGGGGUCAAACCUCUAGACUGCGGACGGCUCAUUAAAUCAGUUAUAGUUUAUUUGAUAGUGUUUGUAUAAGGGUACUUAUGGGAAUUCUACAACUAAUACUUGCUUAAACCCUUGCCUAAUAGCUAGGAUGUAUUUAUUAAUCAUAAGAUCGAUACCCUUAUAUUGAUUUAUAAUAUUUUUACGGAUUGCACGACCGUCGUCGGCUACGUUUCAUUCGAAUUUCUGCCCUAUCAAUUUACGAUGGUAGGGAAGUGGCCUACCAUGAUCAUAACGGGUAACGGAGGAUUAGGGUUUGAUUCCGGAGAGGGAGCUUGAGAGACGGCUACCACAUCCAAGGAAGGCAGCAGGCGCGAAAAUUACCCAAUGCRGACKUYGUGAGGUAGUGACAAUAAAUAACAAUAUCGGGCUUAUUAAGUUUGGUAAUUGGAAUGAGAACAUCCUAAAUACCUUAUCGAGGAUCUAUUGGAGGGCAAGUCUGGUGCCAGCAGCCGCGGUAAUUCCAGCUCCAAUAGCGUAUAUUUAAGUUGUUGCGGUUAAAAAGCUCGUAGUCGAUUCUCGGAUGCGUCCAAUGGUCCUUUUUUCGAAAAUGUGCAUCAUGCGGGGGCGUCUUAUUGUGCGGAACGCGCAUUCGGGCUUAAUUGUCCGGGGUGCGGGAGGUGCGAUGUGACUUUGAGUAAACUAGAGCGCUAAAAGCGGGUGUGAGCCAUGCAUAUAGUAGCAUGGGAUGACACUAUAAGACUUCGGUCCGUAUGUCGGUCUGCGGUAUCGAGGUAAUGAGCGAUGGAGGUGAUCGGGGAUGUUCCUAUUUCGGUGUCAGAGGUGAAAUUCUUGGAUUUACGAAAGAGGAUCUAAUGCGAAAGCAUCCAUCAAGAACACCCUCGUUGAUCAAGAACGAAAGUUGGGGGAUCGAAGAUGAUUAGAUACCAUCCUAGUCUCAACCAUAAACUAUGCCGUUUGGGGAUUGGCGGGUGUUUAUUUACGACCUUGCCAGCACCCUAUGAGAAAUUAUUAACGUGUGGGUUCCGGGGGUAGUAUGGUCGCAAGGCUGAAACUUAAAGGAAUAGACGGAAGGGCACCACCAGGCGUGGAGCCUGCGGCUUAAUUUGACUCAACGCGGGAAAACUUACUAGGUUAGGACAUAGGAAGGAUUGACAGAUUGAUAGCUCUUUCUUUAUUCUCUGGGUGGUGGUGCAUGGCCAUUCUUAGUUCGUGGGUUAUCUUGUCUGGUUUACUCCGUUAACGAACGAGACCUCGAUCUGCUAAAUAGAUGUUUCUACGAUCAGARGAACACGUUUUCUUAGAGGGACCAUCGGUUUAAGCCGUUGGAAGUCCGAGGCAAUAAUAGGUCUGUGAUGCCCUUAGAUAUUCUAGGCCGCACGCGGGCUACRCUGRCRCAYUCWACRAGUUYYMUCGGYCGAGAGRCCCRGGUARUCWWYGCAYRUGYGYCGUGCUGGGGCUAGAAUWUUGRAAUUGUUAUUCUUUAACGAGGAAUGCCUAGUARKUDYCGGUCAWCAGCCGGYGUYGAUUAUGUCCCYGCCCUUUGUACUCACCGCCCRUCGCUUGAUCCGACGUUGCARUUGGUGAAAUGUUUGGAUCGGUUUWGYGUCAYGAAAGUGWUGCUWGACCGAGAAGUUCUUUGAACCACCUGUUAUGGAGGAAGAAGAAGUYGUAACAAGGCCGUAGUAGAUGARYCUGCCACGGGAUCAUUG
Molecule: ribosomal RNA, 1776 nt
Filed under: Halicoryne wrightii
Lineage: Eukaryota; Viridiplantae; Chlorophyta; Ulvophyceae; Dasycladales; Polyphysaceae
Description: partial small subunit ribosomal RNA
Rfam family: Eukaryotic small subunit ribosomal RNA
Source: RNAcentral